CGGCAGGGCACCGCUCACUCCACAACAUGAACGGCAGCCGGCUGCAGAAAAAGGAGGAACUCAUGCCCCCAGCCAGGGGUGCGGCAGUGUGGAGACCUGCCGCAAAGCGCGGCCGACGUAUGCGCGGCGCGUGAGGCGGCUCGUUGAAGGAGUUCGGGGCCGCUAUGGCAAAACACUAUGGCA
The submitters of this non-coding RNA (183 nucleotides) gave its source as unclassified sequences. The record is from Rfam.